RNAcentral lists this ribosomal RNA (959 nucleotides) under Escherichia coli. Its description in RNAcentral is "partial 23S ribosomal RNA". It matches the Rfam family "Bacterial large subunit ribosomal RNA", at positions 238 to 1238 of the family's 2925-position model. The record is from RNAcentral. Lineage: Bacteria; Pseudomonadati; Pseudomonadota; Gammaproteobacteria; Enterobacterales; Enterobacteriaceae.
CCCCAGUAGCGGCGAGCGAACGGGGAGGAGCCCAGAGCCUGAAUCAGUGUGUGUGUUAGUGGAAGCGUCUGGAAAGGCGCGCGAUACAGGGUGACAGCCCCGUACACAAAAAUGCACAUACUGUGAGCUCGAUGAGUAGGGCGGGACACGUGGUAUCCUGUCUGAAUAUGGGGGGACCAUCCUCCAAGGCUAAAUACUCCUGACUGACCGAUAGUGAACCAGUACCGUGAGGGAAAGGCGAAAAGAACCCCGGCGAGGGGAGUGAAAAAGAACCUGAAACCGUGUACGUACAAGCAGUGGGAGCCUCUUAAUGGGGUGACUGCGUACCUUUUGUAUAAUGGGUCAGCGACUUAUAUUCUGUAGCAAGGUUAACCGAAUAGGGGAGCCGAAGGGAAACCGAGUCUUAACUGGGCGUUAAGUUGCAGGGUAUAGACCCGAAACCCGGUGAUCUAGCCAUGGGCAGGUUGAAGGUUGGGUAACACUAACUGGAGGACCGAACCGACUAAUGUUGAAAAAUUAGCGGAUGACUUGUGGCUGGGGGUGAAAGGCCAAUCAAACCGGGAGAUAGCUGGUUCUCCCCGAAAGCUAUUUAGGUAGCGCCUCGUGAAUUCAUCUCCGGGGGUAGAGCACUGUUUCGGCAAGGGGGUCAUCCCGACUUACCAACCCGAUGCAAACUGCGAAUACCGGAGAAUGUUAUCACGGGAGACACACGGCGGGUGCUAACGUCCGUCGUGAAGAGGGAAACAACCCAGACCGCCAGCUAAGGUCCCAAAGUCAUGGUUAAGUGGGAAACGAUGUGGGAAGGCCCAGACAGCCAGGAUGUUGGCUUAGAAGCAGCCAUCAUUUAAAGAAAGCGUAAUAGCUCACUGGUCGAGUCGGCCUGCGCGGAAGAUGUAACGGGGCUAAACCAUGCACCGAAGCUGCGGCAGCGACACUAUGUGUUGUUGGGUAGGGGAGCG